This 253-nucleotide ribosomal RNA is filed under the name uncultured bacterium. RNAcentral's name for it is "partial 16S ribosomal RNA". It matches the Rfam family "Bacterial small subunit ribosomal RNA", at positions 524 to 776 of the family's 1533-position model. The record is from RNAcentral.
UACGACGGGGGCUAGCGUUGCUCGGAAUCACUGGGCGUAAAGCGCACGUAGGCGGAUUGUUAAGUCAGGGGUGAAAUCCUGGAGCUCAACUCCAGAACUGCCUUUGAUACUGGCGAUCUCGAGUCCGGGAGAGGUGAGUGGAACUGCGAGUGUAGAGGUGAAAUUCGUAGAUAUUCGCAAGAACACCAGUGGCGAAGGCGGCUCACUGGCCCGGUACUGACGCUGAGGUGCGAAAGCGUGGGGAGCAAACAGG